Molecule: long non-coding RNA, 502 nt
Organism: Osmerus eperlanus (European smelt)
Lineage: Eukaryota; Metazoa; Chordata; Actinopteri; Osmeriformes; Osmeridae
Exons: 3
Source: RefSeq, a predicted model, not a curated record
UCCCUGUCUAUGCAUCAACAUUAGCUAAUUGAGUCAUAACUUCACAAUAUUUAUUGACAGCUGGAUAGCUAAGCACUGGAUGAAACACCCACGUGGCUCCCUCUUACUGGUAGCCUACUAGAAUACUGAUUCCGCUAGUGUACAGUAAUAGCAGUCACAACAAUUCUCUAAACAGCCAAUCUUAUUUGAGUUAAAGCCGACUAAUUUAAGGAGACUUCUGACGGGUUUGGCAGGUACUCUGGAGAGGUGAGGGUCUGGCUGUUUUCGGGUAGCGGCCACAUCUCCUGCCAGGAGAGACAGGAUCUUCAGGAUGAAGAUCGGUAUCCAGCAAAGAGAGUCAGUGAUGACGAUGGAGAAAAAUCUCUUUGCUAUAGUCACCUCAUUCUUGAUAUGGUUACUGUACUUGGUGGUCUGUGUGCCUGUUCUCUGGAUGUUGUAAAACAUGCUUCCAUAUGACAGCACUAUGAUGAGGAACGCCACCAAGUUAAGACCUGUACGGGAA